Alosa sapidissima (American shad) is the source of this 501-nucleotide long non-coding RNA. RefSeq lists it as uncharacterized. The transcript is spliced from 2 exons. Lineage: Eukaryota; Metazoa; Chordata; Actinopteri; Clupeiformes; Clupeidae. The record is from RefSeq and is a predicted model, not a curated record.
CCCCACUGCAUCAGGCAGGGGCAAAGGGAACACCAAAUGCAGUGUGAAGUCAGCUUUGGGCUACCUUUUGGAUAUAAAACCGACUGGAACCAGCAUUUCCAGUGUGCUGAACAAUCAUCCUGAUAGAUCAGUAGAACAUCGCCAGCCCCACUUGGUGUGCAUUGGAGAUCCCUCCGCCUCCGCCCAAUACAUCAUUGUUCCAGAAAACGACUUGCCAUUUCUCUUAAGGAAAACGGUUUGAGAAGUUAUGCACAUUUUACCAGAAAGUGAAAAUCAAAAUGUUUUUCUUAAGGAUACUUGUUACAAAGUUUUUCCAUAACCAUUUCCAUGCAAUUGCUGUCCAGAGAACAGAGGACUUUAAACUAAUUAGUUUAAGAGAUUUAAUUGAUUUUAGACCAAUACAUUUGAUAUUUUUUAACAAUGAUAUUUUUGUAAACCCUCGCUAUGAACUUGUGUAAUGUUUAUGUGUACAAUAUUUGUAAUAAAUAAUACAUAAUUUCA